GGGGCCGUGGCGCAGUGGGAGCGCGUCUGAAUGGCAUUCAGAAGGUCGCGGGUUCGAAUCCCGCCGGCUCCACCA
RNAcentral lists this transfer RNA (75 nucleotides) under Armatimonadota bacterium. Its description in RNAcentral is "Armatimonadetes bacterium (hot springs metagenome) tRNA-Ala". It matches the Rfam family "tRNA". Rfam says of the family: Transfer RNA (tRNA) molecules are approximately 80 nucleotides in length. Their secondary structure includes four short double-helical elements and three loops (D, anti-codon, and T loops). Further hydrogen bonds mediate the characteristic L-shaped molecular structure. tRNAs have two regions of fundamental functional importance: the anti-codon, which is responsible for specific mRNA codon recognition, and the 3' end, to which the tRNAs corresponding amino acid is attached (by aminoacyl-tRNA synthetases). tRNAs cope with the degeneracy of the genetic code in two manners: having more than one tRNA (with a specific anti-codon) for a particular amino acid; and 'wobble' base-pairing, i.e. permitting non-standard base-pairing at the 3rd anti-codon position. Lineage: Bacteria; Bacillati; Armatimonadota. The record is from RNAcentral.